RNAcentral lists this ribosomal RNA (256 nucleotides) under uncultured bacterium. RNAcentral's name for it is "partial 16S ribosomal RNA". It matches the Rfam family "Bacterial small subunit ribosomal RNA", at positions 524 to 776 of the family's 1533-position model. The record is from RNAcentral.
UACGUAGGCAGCAAGCGUUGUUCGGAUCUAUUGGGCGUAAAGGAUGCGUAGAUGGUGUAGUAAGUUAUCGGUGGUAAAUCGAGGCUCAACCUCGUGGAAGUCGGUAAUACUGUUAUGCUAGAGGAUAGGAGAGGUUAACGGAACUCCCUGCGGAGCGGUGAAAUGCGUAGAUAUAGGGAAGAACACCAAUAAAGGCGAAGGCAGUUAACUAUUCUAUUCCUGACAUUGAGGCAUGAAAGCGUGGGGAGCAAAACGG